UGCCUACGGGGGGCAGCAGUGAGGAAUAUUGGUCAAUGGCCGGAAGGCUGAACCAGCCAAGUCGCGUGAGGGAAUAAGGCCCUAUGGGUCGUAAACCUCUUUUGUCGGAGAACAAAACCCGGGACGUGUCCCGGACUGCGUGUAUCCGAAGAAAAAGCAUCGGCUAACUCCGUGCCAGCAGCCGCGGUAAUACGGAGGAUGCGAGCGUUAUCCGGAUUUAUUGGGUUUAAAGGGUGCGUAGGCGGUCCGUUAAGUCAGCGGUAAAAUUGCGGGGCUCAACCCCGUCGAGCCGUUGAAACUGGCAG
RNAcentral lists this ribosomal RNA (305 nucleotides) under uncultured bacterium. Its description in RNAcentral is "bacterial SSU rRNA". It matches the Rfam family "Bacterial small subunit ribosomal RNA", at positions 335 to 639 of the family's 1533-position model. The record is from RNAcentral.